Tetranychus urticae (two-spotted spider mite) is the source of this 2335-nucleotide long non-coding RNA. RefSeq lists it as uncharacterized. The record is from RefSeq and is a predicted model, not a curated record. NCBI's taxonomy places the organism in Eukaryota, Metazoa, Arthropoda, Arachnida, Trombidiformes, Tetranychidae.
AAUAUUUUAAAACUGAUGAUAGGUAUUAAUUUUUGAAUGCAUUAACAAUAGUGAAUGGCCAACAUGCUAAUUACCGAUAGCUCAAAGUAUUACGUCGAGAGGAACAGGCCCAUGAUGGUACCAUUGGAGUCUAGGAAUCAGUAAAGGAGGAGAAAACAAUAAUAGCGAGAAUACGUUCAUUGUUACUGGUAGCGUUGAUGAUACUGUCAAAGCUUGGCAAUGGGUUAUGAUACAUUGGCUUAAAAUACAUCUUUGCUUUAGCUUAGAGUGUAGCUCAGCUUAGCUCUAGCUUCAUCUCAUGAUAUAAACCAUGAAGGUAAUAACCAGAAGAAAAAUACAAGCAAAAUGUUUGUCUUUAUGGUUAGACUAAUAUCGAUCGUUGAAGAUAAAAAGGAGCAAAAAAAAGAGGAAGAAACGAAGAGAGGAAGGAAGCUCGACUCACGAGAAGAAUAAGGAUGAGAAAAAAAGAUGAUAAAGACGAGGACGUAAACGAAAAGCAGUGGAAAAAAAGAAGGAAACAAAGUUCUGAGAUUGAGUUAUCUCGUUUGAUGUCGAUCAUUCUCCUUCUCAAGUUGAAGGAACAUGUGAGAGAUGGAAAAGGACAAUAUUCAACAACCAAACCGACUAGACAGUAACCAGCACAAAGAUUCAAUUGCUAUCGAAAAGGAUUCUUUAAAGUUGGCAAAAAAGAUGAUGAACAACUGGUGGAAACUGGCUGAAGAGAGAAGCAUCUUGGCACAUUCAUUUUUGGGAAACCCAUUUCAGUCUAGCAUUUAUUAUUGAAUUGCUUUAAGAUUGAUAGCGAUGAGGUUAAAUUUAGAUAUGAAUGUGAUAUUGGAUAGAAACGCUUUCAACUGGAAGAAAACAUUGAAAUCCUUUCCCAUUUGCUUCGAUGUCUGGACUGAUAAAUCAUUGAAGUACUCAAACUGAAUGAAAAAUCCCUCAAAUUCCCAGUUAUUUAAAAGCUGAUUCAAAUGUGUGAAGUGUGUUAGCUAUCAUUGAAGAAUCAUAAUAUCUAAACGAAUGUUUUACCAAAACGAAUAUUUUGAUUUUAAUUUUUCCAAAAAAUCAAAUUAUUAGUAAUUAUACUCCAAUGGGACAUGGAAAUUGCCAGUUUGACUUGAAUUGAGCAAAAAUUUUAAUGUACAGUAAUGGCCAGGGAUUCAUUGUGAUUCAGUUGAAAUCAUUAAUUUUAUGAAUUUUGAUGAAACAAUAAUUCAACUGAAAAAUUUUAUUUUGUUUGAAAAAUUGGAUUCUUUCAAUAAGCUUGAAUAAUCUAAUUUGAUGGCGACUUUUCUUAUUAAAGAGAGUGAACUGAAUCUUCUGAGCGCCUUCAGUGUAACCAAUUCACUGAAUGAUUUUAUGCUGCAAACAAAACAAUGGAAUCGUAGGUUUAAAUAAUCUAAAUUCAAGAUUAUCUCUAAUGGAGUUUCAGUCGGAAGGGAAGACUAAGAGAUUGUAAUUUUACGAUGAUUAGGACGAUGGUUCAUGAUACUGUCAAGAUGAGAAAAAAAUUGGAUCAGAAGAGAGAAAAAAAUUUGCGUUGGUUUUUCCUCUGUUGAUGUUGACCACAAUCGCAAUGAGAUAAUGAAAAGAUGAAAAUAAUGUAAUCAAUGAUAAAAGUUCACAAUGGCAAUCAAUGAUAAUAAUAGUUAUAAUAGCAUUAAUGAUAAUACGCAAUUAAAAUGAACUUUUAUCAUUGAAUGUGAUCAUUUGGUUUCCUUUUUUGAUUACAGUCACAAUUGUUAACUUGGCCAAUUGAAUUCAAUUGAAUGUUAUUAAAGGGAGAAGACAAAAAGAGUCACAAUAAGACAAGCUCGGGUAAAAUGAUAACAAUGGAUGAAAGUGUAUUAAGAAGAGAAGAAAAAAUUUUGAUUCCCAAAAAUAUUACAUUUGGUCAAGUUGUAUAAAUGAAUGAAUCAAAUGACAAAAGUGUACAUUGACAUGGCCUUUUGUCACACCAAGAGUGGGUGGCAAUGGUUCACUUGUCCCCUCUAUUUACCCUUUUUAUGAUACUUUCAUCUUUAUCUUGAUUAAAACUCAUUCAAUAUUUUUAUCUCAUCUUAUCUAAACAAUAACUCCAAACCAUUAUUAUUAAAUUUAUACACAAAUGUCAAUACUCUGCAUUUCACUGUCUGACAAAAACAAAAUUAACCUGAAUCCAGAGUAAUCUGUGUAUUCACUGUUGAAUAAUUCAAGGGAUUGAAAGGAAUAAAAAUUUUCACUUUGAAUCUCAAAUCUUUUUCCUUCUCAGUUCGACCUUUUCCAAAUUUCUGAGAUUUCCUUGAAGCAGAAACAAAAACGAUAGUUUCAAUGAAAUGGCAAAGGAUACUAA